This is a non-coding RNA of Leptonychotes weddellii (Weddell seal), 552 nucleotides long. The record is from RefSeq and is a predicted model, not a curated record. NCBI's taxonomy places the organism in Eukaryota, Metazoa, Chordata, Mammalia, Carnivora, Phocidae.
GAUGGAAGAAAAGAAAAAGAAAAAGCAGGAAGAAAAGAAAAAGAAGGAAGGUGCUCAGAAAAAGGCUGCUGAUCAAAAAACCAAAGUGCCAGAACCUACUAGGACCUGUUCCAGCCAGCCCCAGCCUGCCGGUAACAGUACCAGCACUUGCACCAGCACUCUGUCCAGCGGCAGCAAUGGCAAGCGCGCAUCUGCCAGCAGCCAGCAGCCAGCUGCAUCCCGUUACCUGCCUCGCGAGGUACCUCCACGCUUCCGCCAGCAAGAACAGAAGCAGCUGUUAAAGAGAGGCCAGCCAUUGCCCGCAGGGGCUCUGGCCAGUGUGAGCCCGACCCAGGGUGCUGGGCCCGCAGGGGUAAGCCCUCCUCCCCUCCCUGGAGCCGGCGCACAGCAGCAUCCCAGUAAGCUCCAACCAGGUAAACACGCAUAGAGGGAGGCAUUCCUUUUAUCGGAACCGCUGUGCCAUUUUCAACUUUGCCGUCCGGUGAUACACAAAUAGACAUACUUGGUCCAUGUUCACUGUAUGCAUGUAAUGGAGGGAGCUCGCUAGCUAGA